RNAcentral lists this long non-coding RNA (759 nucleotides) under Arabidopsis lyrata. Its description in RNAcentral is "long non-coding RNA (ALYR_LNC002643)". The record is from RNAcentral. Lineage: Eukaryota; Viridiplantae; Streptophyta; Magnoliopsida; Brassicales; Brassicaceae.
CUAACCCCAAGAAGUACUGUUUUCCCAUAGAUCCUGGGUUGUACCAGUCUUGUAACCUCCGGUGCUCAGCGAAUCCCAUCAGAGCCAUCUCGAGAACAAAGAGAGUGUAAUUGUCUGCCCAGUAAGUGUAUGUCCCUGCUGGUGGAAUCACACCGGUUUGGAACCAAGGAAGAGCAGUCUCUGGUGGAAUCAGACCAGCCUUUCCUAGAAUCUCAGGAGCAAUAGCUCCAGCUGCACCCAACAUGGCAAACCGUCCGUUGAUGAUCUCUCCGUAUGCUAGCCAUCUUGGCUCAAUGAACCCUCCAGUUCCCUCUGGGUCUGAAAGACCAAGUGGGUCAAAUCCAUAGUCUCCAGGUAAGCUGCAAGAAGAAUCACAACAUGUCCAAAUUUUGAACAUCAUGAAGUUCUCCAAAUGAAUCAAAUCCAACAGAUGUUUGAACAUUACCUGCCAUCCAAGUAAGAGAGACUCUGCGAUGAUGCAAACCACAAUGGUCUGUUUGCUCCUUGCUGAAAAACCAAAACACAAAAUCAAGAUCAGAUUAUUCAUUUCAUAUAGAGAGAGAUCUGUGAAAGACUAGAGAGUGUCAUGUACCUUGACAGGUGGAGUUGCUGUAGCCUUAACAACAAAGGAACUCUUCUUCUGUGAGGCAGACGCAACUGGUUUUGAGCCAAAUAUCUGUCUAGCUGUCUGAACAGAGGAGGUAAGUGAAGAAGACACAAGUGCUUGUGCUGCCAUUUUCUCUGUUCCUCAACUCUUCU